UGAGGAAUAUUGCGCAAUGGCCGAAAGGCUGACGCAGCGACGCCGCGUGGGGGAUGACGGCCUUCGGGUUGUAAACCUUUGUCAGUGGGGAAGAAAAAAAUGACUGUACCCACAGAGGAAGCCCCGGCUAACUACGUGCCAGCAGCCGCGGUAAGACGUAGGGGGCGAGCGUUGUUCGGAAUUACUGGCGUAAAGAGCUCGUAGGCUGGAAGUUAAGUCUUUGGACAAAUCUCCCGGCUCAACCGGGAACCGUUCAGGGAUACUUAUUUUCUUGAGCACAGGAGAGGGGAAUGGAAUUCCUAGCGUAGCGGUGAAAUGCGUAGAUAUUAGGAGGAACACCAGUGGCGAAGGCGGUUCUCUGGCCUGUUUCUGACGCUGAGGAGCGAAAGCUGGGGGAGCGAACGG
This 405-nucleotide ribosomal RNA is filed under the name uncultured bacterium. Its description in RNAcentral is "bacterial SSU rRNA". It matches the Rfam family "Bacterial small subunit ribosomal RNA", at positions 355 to 775 of the family's 1533-position model. The record is from RNAcentral.